GCCUGGGUGGCUCAGUGGUUGAGCGCCUGCCUUCAGCCCAGGGCGUGAUCCUGGAGUCUGGGAUCGAGUCCCACAUCGGGCU
Non-coding RNA from Canis lupus familiaris (dog), 82 nucleotides. The record is from Rfam. NCBI's taxonomy places the organism in Eukaryota, Metazoa, Chordata, Mammalia, Carnivora, Canidae.